GCGAAAAUUCUCCAAUGCACGCAAGUGUGAGAGAGGAAUCUUGAGUGUUUUUGUUAAAACAAAAACUUUUGUGUACUUUAAAUUGGUACAAGAAUAAGGGCUGGGCAAGAUCGGUGCCAGCAGCCGCGGUAAUCCCGACGGCCCAAGUGGGACUCACAAUUAUUGGGUCUAAAACAUUCGUAGCUGGUUUUUUAAGUUUCUUGUUAAAUUGCGAGGCUUAACCUCGUGGCUGCAAGAAAUACUAGAAGACUAGGGACUGGGAGACGUAAUGAGUACAGCAAGGGUAGUAGUAAAAUAUUUUAAUCCUCGUUGGACUAACAAUGGCGAAGGCACGUUACGAGGACAGAUCUGACAGUGAGGAAUGAAGGCCAGGGGCGCAAAAUGGAUUAGAUACCCAUGUAGUCCUGGCAGUAAACCCUGAUUACUAAACAUUGUGUUCUCCUCGAGAGAAUGCAGUGCUGAAGCGAAGGCGGAAGUAAUCUACCUGGGGAGUAUAGCCGCAAGGCCGAAACU
RNAcentral lists this ribosomal RNA (513 nucleotides) under uncultured archaeon. RNAcentral describes it as "bacterial SSU rRNA". It matches the Rfam family "Archaeal small subunit ribosomal RNA", at positions 341 to 856 of the family's 1478-position model. The record is from RNAcentral.